UUCAGAUGCGAAAGCGUGGGGAGCAACCAGGAUUGAUUCCCUGGUAGUCCACGCCGUAAACGAUGUCUACUUGGAGGUUGUGGCCUUGAGCCGUGGCUUUCGGAGCUAACGCGUUAAGUAGACCGCCUGGGGAGUACGGUCGCAAGAUUAAAACUCAAAUGAAUUGACGGGGGCCCGCACAAGCGGUGGAGCAUGUGGUUUAAUUCGAUGCAACGCGAAGAACCUUACCUACUCUUGACAUCCGGAGAACUUUCCAGAGAUGGAUUGGUGCCUUCGGGAACUCUGAGACAGGUGCUGCAUGGCUGUCGUCAGCUCGUGUUGUGAAAUGAUGGGUUAAGACCCGCAACGAGCGCAACCCUUAUCCUUGUUUGCCAGCGAGUAAUGUCGGGAACUCCAGGGAGGCUGCCGGUGAUAAACCGGAGGAAGGUGGGGACGACGUCAAGUCAUCAUGGCCCUUACGAGUAGGGCUACACACGUGCUACAAUGGCGCAUACAGAGGGCAGCCAACUUGCGAAAGUGAGCGAAUCCCAAAAAGUGCGUCGUAGUCCGGAUUGGAGUCUGCAACUCGACUCCAUGAAGUCGGAAUCGCUAGUAAUCGUGGAUCAGAAUGCCACGGUGAAUACGUUCCCGGGCCUUGUACACACCGCCCA
RNAcentral lists this ribosomal RNA (650 nucleotides) under uncultured bacterium. Its description in RNAcentral is "bacterial SSU rRNA". It matches the Rfam family "Bacterial small subunit ribosomal RNA", at positions 746 to 1396 of the family's 1533-position model. The record is from RNAcentral.